Molecule: ribosomal RNA, 751 nt
Filed under: uncultured archaeon
Lineage: Archaea
Description: bacterial SSU rRNA
Rfam family: Archaeal small subunit ribosomal RNA
Source: RNAcentral
AAUACGUGGCAUACGGCUCAGUAACACGUAGUCAACAUGCCCAGGGGACGUGGAUAACCUCGGGAAACUGAGGCUAAACCGCGACAGGCCAAGAUUUCUGGAAUGGAUCAUGGCUUAAAUCUAUAUGGCCCCUGGAUUGGACUGCGGCCGAUCAGGCUGUUGGUGAGGUAAUGGCCCACCAAACCUGUAACCGGUACGGGCUCUGAGAGGAGGAGCCCGGAGAUGGGCACUUAGACAAGGGCCCAGGCCCUAUGGGGCGCAGCAGGCGCGAAACCUCUGCAAUAAGCGAAAGCUUGACAGGGUUACUCUGAGUGAUUUCCGCUAAGGAAGUCUUUUGGCACCUCUAAAAAUGGUGCAGAAUAAGGGGUGGGCAAGUCUGGUGUCAGCCGCCGCGGUAAUACCAGCACCCCGAGUGGUCGGGACGAUUAUUGGGCCUAAAGCAUCCGUAGCCGGUCCUGCAAGUCCUCCGUUAAAUCCACCCGCUCAACGGUUGGGCCGCGGGGGAUACUACAGGGCUAGGAGGCGGGAGAGGCAAGCGGUACUCGAUGGGUAGGGGUAAAAUCCACUGAUCCAUUGAAGACCACCAGUGGCGAAGGCGGCUUGCCAGAACGCGCUCGACGGUGAGGGAUGAAAGCUGGGGGAGCAAACCGGAUUAGAUACCCGGGUAGUCCCAGCUGUAAACGAUGCAGACUCGGUGAUGGGCUGGCUUCGUGCCAACCCGGUGCCGCAGGGAAGCCGUUAAGUCUACCGC